This 1997-nucleotide long non-coding RNA is filed under the name Mytilus galloprovincialis (Mediterranean mussel). The record is from RNAcentral. Lineage: Eukaryota; Metazoa; Mollusca; Bivalvia; Mytilida; Mytilidae.
CAAAACAGUGUUAAAGCUAAACUUCAUAUAAAAGCAAUAACUAUAUGAUUGUACACAAUAUUCGUAUAUAUAUAUAAAUAAACAUCAUUUCUUGUGUGUGUAAAUGUUGUUUACAAGUUGUUAUUUUGUAUACCAAUUAUAAGUUUUAGAGAACUUCUAAACUCAAUAAGAUAAAACAAAGAGGCAUACAUGUACAGUACACAAUGACAAUAAAAAUUGUUUCCUUGAUAAAUCUUAUUGACCUCAUAUUAAAUAACUUCAAACUAAUGUGUACACAUAAAAUUGAUACAAAGAUAUCUUGUCAUAUAGCUCCUCAACGGGUUCAGUACUUAUACAUCUUCGGAUUUCAAAUGUUUGGCUUUGGGCAUUCCUGAUGAAAGUAAAUCCAGAAAAGCGCUUCGGAUGCAUGAAAUUAUUAAACGUGAUGUUUUCCAUUUUUUGUGGACUCAAAAUCUGAGAAUUAAUAACAAUAAUACCAAAGAUGAUGAUAAUAAUGGAUGGCUGCUUAUUGUCUGAACAGCAAAUUAAUACGGUGAAACCUGGCUGAACCGAAUCCUGCAUAAACAGAAAAAAACCUGUAUAAACCAAACAUGAUUGUAAGCACCUUUAUAUCAAACUGUAUGCGUUGCGAACCUGAUAAAACCGAACAGCGACCAAAACUGAACAAAAUCUUUAAUCCCAAAGAGGUUCGGUUUAGCCAGGUUUCACUUUAUACUGUAAAUCAACUUAUUUUCGCAGAUACUAUAUUUUGCCUUUUACCCUUUUUAGGCCACUUCAUGACUAUUUAAUUUCCUGAUUUUCUAAUUAACUUGUUAUAGUUUGAUAAGAAAUGAUCAAAGAUCUGCAUAUUCGCGACGAUUUAUAUUAGCAUUAUUUUUCUACUCCUGAAAGUCACGAAAAUAAGUUGGUUUACGGUACAUAUUCAGGAUGAGAACAUGUUAGUGCAGUAUGAAAUACAAUCCUGCAUUGAAUUAGACCGACACACUGAGCUGUAUUUUUAACGUGAUAGUAAACAAGGUAUAAACAGUACGCAGGAAGACUUAUCACCUUUAAUACCCGGCAGCUUUUUCUGACUAUAACUGACAGGUUUUUGUUCUUACUCCCUAAUACUGCAUGCUUAAUGAAGAAGCAGCAAAUACCAAUUUUGAAGUCUUUGGUUUAAAACCCACCACCUCCUGCUGUACUGGAGGCCAACAGGCUACCUUGAGACCACCAAGGUGGUUUUAUGUCAAAGAAGACAGUGAUGAAUGGUAUGUUGACGUAUAUUUUUUAGUAAAAAUAAAACAUCAACUUUGUUCAAUCUUUAAGACAGAAGGUCAUGGUCAGACUUGUACAGAAUAACAACCUGUUCACAACACAAACUGUAAAUAAAUAAUGCUAAUGUUAUUAUACAAGUAACAAUGAUAAAAACACAACCAAAUAAAUUAUUUCAACAAUCCUUUCGUAUAAGAGAUAUAAAAGUAAACAGUUCUUACUAUAAAAAAAAGAUCUUUGGCUUUCACCUUUACUUGUAUGACAAUCUAUAUAAUGUAACUCACUUUUGGAAAUCUUAUACUGUGGAUUCAUUUGUUUUCGUGGGCACCAAUUUUCAUGGAUUGAGAAAAACUUGUAUAUUCGUGGAUAUUUAAUUCAUGGUUUUUGGCAAAUCUGCAUACAUUUCUAUUCAAAAUUAAUAAUUUGUGGAAUAUUUAAAUUCGUGGUUCCCUUGUACCCACGAAAUCUACGAAAAUUAGUAAACAAUGAAUUAUAAUGAAUCCACAGUAGUACAUGUGUAUAUAUUUUGUACUUGUCCUUGCAUUGUGGAUGUUCUGUGAUUACAGUAAAAAUAUGUAUAAAUAUUUGUAUCAGAUUCAUAUUAUCAGCAAAAAGCUACUUACACUUAUAAUUAGUGUCAAUCAAACUUAUUGCAACCUCAUGUUAUUGGCAGAAUGUGUCAAUAUUCGCUUAUUUUUUUUCGAAGAAAGAACAAAAUCUCAAAAGUAAAAAUUCGCAUUUUG